CUCGCACUAAAAUCCCACGCGAAAUCCCUCAAAACACCAGAUCGACGAAAAUCUCAAAUCUUGCUUCAAAAACAUUCAAAUCUGAAUUAAAAUCAGCAGAAAAUUCAGAAAGGAUGGGAUUGAUUAAGAGCUGCUUUUCGUUCAUGAUGGGCACAGCCUUCGGAGUUUACGUAGCCCAGAAUUACAACGUCCCCAAUGUCCAGAAGCUGUUCAACACUGGCCUCUUGAUCGCCAAGCACAUUGAAGAAAAUUACCGCAAGCCUAAAAAGCGCGACGUUGAUGAAUAGCACCACAAAAGAAGCCGCCUUCCACCCGUUAGUUGUUUUUAGUGUUUCGUUUUACAGGGAUUUAUGUGAAAGAAAAUUAAUGAAGGGAAGAAGAAUCUAUACUUGCUCCUCCAUAUUUGGAAAAGGGAUCAUUCGUAUUUUAGUUCAAUGGUUUCAGAGUGCUGGAAGAAUCGUGCUAACCUGGGUUGUAAUAUUUUUAGAAUAUGUAAGGACGGUAGUGUGAAGGCGAGAUUUAAUUUUGUAAAAAGGGGAUGGUGUUAACAUUUCUUGAUUCUCCUCAGGACAAUAUGUGCAGACAAGCUCAAUUAAAGAUGAGCCAUUUUUGAAGGCUAGUGGAGCCCUUUUCUGCA
RNA transcript from Olea europaea var. sylvestris, 637 nucleotides. RefSeq lists it as uncharacterized. Lineage: Eukaryota; Viridiplantae; Streptophyta; Magnoliopsida; Lamiales; Oleaceae. The transcript has 2 exons. The record is from RefSeq and is a predicted model, not a curated record.